GAAUUCGCCCUUAGAGUUUUAUCCUGGCUCAGGACGAACGCUGGCGGCGCGCCUAACACAUGCAAGUCGAACGAGCGGAGACCCUUCGGGGUUGAAGUUAGUGGCGGACGGGUGAGUAACACGUGAGGAACCUGCCUUACAGAGAGGGAUACCGUUUGGAAACGAACGUUAAUACCGCAUAAUGUAUUGAAAUCGCAUGGUUUUGAUACCAAAGAUUUAUCGCUGUAAGAUGGCCUCGCGUCUGAUUAGAUAGUUGGUGAGGUAACGGCCCACCAAGUCGACGAUCAGUAGCCGGACUGAGAGGUUGAUCGGCCACAUUGGGACUGAGACACGGCCCAGACUCCUACGGGAGGCAGCAGUGGGGGAUAUUGCACAAUGGGCGAAAGCCUGAUGCAGCGACGCCGCGUGAGGGAAGACGGUUUUCGGAUUGUAAACUCCUGUUGUUGAGGAAGAUAAUGACGGUACUCAACAAGGAAGUGACGGCUAACUACGUGCCAGCAGCCGCGGUAAAACGUAGGUCACAAGCGUUGUCCGGAAUUACUGGGUGUAAAGGGAGCGCAGGCGGGAAGACAAGUUGGAAGUGAAAUCCAUGGGCUCAACCCAUGAACUGCUUUCAAAACUGUUUUUCUUGAGUAGUGCAGAGGUAGGCGGAAUUCCCGGUGUAGCGGUGGAAUGCGUAGAUAUCGGGAGGAACACCAGUGGCGAAGGCGGCCUACUGGGCACCAACUGACGCUGAGGCUCGAAAGUGUGGGUAGCAAACAGGAUUAGAUACCCUGGUAGUCCACACUGUAAACGAUGAUUACUAGGUGUUGGAGGAUUGACCCCUUCAGUGCCGCAGUUAACACAAUAAGUAAUCCACCUGGGGAGUACGACCGCAAGGUUGAAACUCAAAGGAAUUGACGGGGGCCCGCACAAGCAGUGGAGUAUGUGGUUUAAUUCGACGCAACGCGAUGAACCUUACCAAGUCUUGACAUCCAUCGACGACUAUAGAAAUAUAGUUUUCCUUCGGGACGGUGAGACAGGUGGUGCAUGGUUGUCGUCAGCUCGUGUCGUGAGAUGUUGGGUUAAGUCCCGCAACGAGCGCAACCCUUAUGGUCAGUUACUACGCAAGAGGACUCUGGCCAGACUGCCGUUGACAAAACGGAGGAAGGUGGGGAUGACGUCAAAUCAUCAUGCCCUUUAUGACUUGGGCUACACACGUACUACAAUGGCGUUAAACAAAGAGAAGCAAGACCGCGAGGUGGAGCAAAACUCAGAAACAACGUCCCAGUUCGGACUGCAGGCUGCAACUCGCCUGCACGAAGUUGGAAUUGCUAGUAAUCGCAGAUCAGCAUGCUGCGGUGAAUACGUUCCCGGGCCUUGCACUCACCGCCCGUCA
RNAcentral lists this ribosomal RNA (1378 nucleotides) under uncultured bacterium. RNAcentral describes it as "bacterial SSU rRNA". It matches the Rfam family "Bacterial small subunit ribosomal RNA". The record is from RNAcentral.